AGUGAACGCUGGCGGUAGGCCUAACACAUGCAAGUCGAACGGCAGCACAGUAAGAGCUUGCUCUUACGGGUGGCGAGUGGCGGACGGGUGAGGAAUACAUCGGAAUCUACUUUUUCGUGGGGGAUAACGUAGGGAAACUUACGCUAAUACCGCAUACGACCUACGGGUGAAAGCAGGGGAUCUUCGGACCUUGCGCGAUUGAAUGAGCCGAUGUCGGAUUAGCUAGUUGGCGGGGUAAAGGCCCACCAAGGCGACGAUCCGUAGCUGGUCUGAGAGGAUGAUCAGCCACACUGGAACUGAGACACGGUCCAGACUCCUACGGGAGGCAGCAGUGGGGAAUAUUGGACAAUGGGCGCAAGCCUGAUCCAACCAUACCGCGUGGGUGAAGAAGGCCUUCGGGUUGUAAAGCCCUUUUGUUGGGAAAGAAAAGCAGCAGGUUAAUACCCCGCUGUUCUGACGGUACCCAAAGAAUAAGCACCGGCUAACUUCGU
RNAcentral lists this ribosomal RNA (491 nucleotides) under uncultured bacterium. RNAcentral's name for it is "partial 16S ribosomal RNA". It matches the Rfam family "Bacterial small subunit ribosomal RNA", at positions 29 to 506 of the family's 1533-position model. The record is from RNAcentral.